Molecule: long non-coding RNA, 792 nt
Filed under: Brassica napus (rape)
Lineage: Eukaryota; Viridiplantae; Streptophyta; Magnoliopsida; Brassicales; Brassicaceae
Description: long non-coding RNA (BNAP_LNC025734)
Source: RNAcentral
AGUUGAAGCCUGGUCGGUGUACGGCGACGGUUGGGACACUGCUUCUCCGUUAUGCUAGAACUAAGGCUUGUGGAUGGAGGGAGCUUCUGCUACUACAGGUGCCUUGCAUGAUGAACCUGUCUGUGGUGGAUUAACUGAUGAUGGUUCACCAGUUCCUGAGGAUGAGCCAGCCUGAAAAAAAAAGCCUGCAAUGCUUAAGCUCCCAGCAUCCUGAGUCACCAAGUCCAACAUCCACCACUGCUAUUUCUUAGGAUAUUUUUUCUUCACUUGAGUUUAAGUAAAAAUUAUUUAGAUCUAGCUUCUUAUUUGAAUCCUUUUGUUGUCAUUUUUUAACUUUUCUUCUUCUUCUUCGCGUUGAUCGUCAGCAAAACUUUGUCCCACCAGUGAUUUAUAAAAAAAAGUAAUAUUGCUCUUUAGUGCAGUCGCUUUGUACUUAACUGAGAUCCGGUCCAACCAAAUAGAUACACAUAUUACUAAAAUCAUCAUGGCCUUGCUUCCAAAUUUGCUACUAAACUGAGAAUAAUAAAAGUCCAGUCAAAUACCAAAUAAUAGUUAAUCGCAAUAACAAUAAUCCCAAUUCAUAUCAGCUAUGUUUUGGUUCUUGGUCUUUUGAGUUUCCACACAUCAAUCCAACCCAAGGCCUAUAAAUUUCUAAUUCCUCCAUAUUCACAUUAACGUUUUCUGCAGCUUUCUCUUCUGAGACCUUCAUCUCAACAUCACCAUAUCUUCAAAUGGCACUCAUGCUCAUCCUUAUGUCGCACUGGCAAUAUCAUGUAAGGUACGUUCAGUUCU